This 93-nucleotide transfer RNA is filed under the name Lancefieldella rimae ATCC 49626. RNAcentral's name for it is "Atopobium rimae ATCC 49626 tRNA-Ser". It matches the Rfam family "tRNA". From Rfam's summary of the family: Transfer RNA (tRNA) molecules are approximately 80 nucleotides in length. Their secondary structure includes four short double-helical elements and three loops (D, anti-codon, and T loops). Further hydrogen bonds mediate the characteristic L-shaped molecular structure. tRNAs have two regions of fundamental functional importance: the anti-codon, which is responsible for specific mRNA codon recognition, and the 3' end, to which the tRNAs corresponding amino acid is attached (by aminoacyl-tRNA synthetases). tRNAs cope with the degeneracy of the genetic code in two manners: having more than one tRNA (with a specific anti-codon) for a particular amino acid; and 'wobble' base-pairing, i.e. permitting non-standard base-pairing at the 3rd anti-codon position. Lineage: Bacteria; Bacillati; Actinomycetota; Coriobacteriia; Coriobacteriales; Atopobiaceae. The record is from RNAcentral.
UGGAGAGUUGUCCGAGUGGCCGAAGGAGCACGAUUGGAAAUCGUGUAGGCGCCUAAAGCGUCUCCAGGGUUCAAAUCCCUGACUCUCCGCCAG